Molecule: long non-coding RNA, 571 nt
Organism: Nyctereutes procyonoides (raccoon dog)
Lineage: Eukaryota; Metazoa; Chordata; Mammalia; Carnivora; Canidae
Exons: 3
Source: RefSeq, a predicted model, not a curated record
UGUGGCUUGCUUCUUCUGAACAGAAUGCAGCAGAAGCGAAGCUACGUGACUUUCCAGACUGGGUCAUAAAAGGCAACACAACGCAUCUGGCUCUCUCUCUAUAUCUUGCUGUGCUCUCUCUUGGAAUCCAGCUGCCAUGCCACGAGGAAGGGCAGGUUGCAAGUCAGGAUUUGGCCAACAUGUGUGCUGUGCUGAAGUCCCAGCUGAUUGCCAGCAUCAGAAGCCAGCUAUUGGAAGAAAUGGAUUAGAAAAUUGAAAAAUCUAAAAGACAGAAUCAAGGUGUGUGAAAAACAGGGUGUUCCCCAAAGAAGCCAGUCUUCUGGGGUUCGGCAAGGGAAUGCGGAUUGCCACCAUCAACCACAGAGUGGCCUCUGAGAAUCCUGGGGGAAGAUUGUAAGAAGAGCUCAGAGUCACAGAAGCUGAUAGAGGAUGAUGCAAGUUUGCUGAAUCGCUGCCGUAUAGUCUCAGUUCUCUGAGACGUCGAUUCCUACUGGUGUCUGCUCAACUCCACAGGGAACCACGGAGCUUUCUUAGGCGGUUGGGGACUGUCUCUUUUGUUCAAAAAUGUUCA